RNAcentral lists this long non-coding RNA (2688 nucleotides) under Daucus carota (carrot). RNAcentral's name for it is "long non-coding RNA (DCAR_LNC001352)". Lineage: Eukaryota; Viridiplantae; Streptophyta; Magnoliopsida; Apiales; Apiaceae. The record is from RNAcentral.
GGGAAGAUUGGCGUGGAGUUGAUGAGUGCUAGUUGAGGCAAAAAUGCAUAAACUGGAACUGGUAUGGACCAAAAAGGCCAUGAAAUGUAGUGAAUAUAACAAAGGGCUUGAAGAAGGUUUAAAGAUUUGAGUCCGAAGGUUAGGGGGCUAAACUUGCAACAUAUAAUUUCGAAGUAGCCNGAGGGAUAUUAAAUGCAUUUGGUUCAAGUUUGCAAUGGUGAGCUGCUUUAGGGGCUGAUUUCGGGAGGAUAUCCAGCUGAGACAACAUCAGACUCUAUAUUGUAAUAUGAUGGAGAAUUAACUAGGAUUGUUUAUGGUUUAUGAUAGAGACAAGGUUAUGAAAGAUUGAAAUCAUGGAUUUGGAAUUUUAAGGAGUUAUAGAGAUAGGUAUACAUACUUUUUCAUUGUAUGGCCCUAAUAAAAAAAUUGCAGUCAUUAAACUCGGCACUCCUGAGUAAAUUUAUAUGUAAAACUGGACCAAUCAGUUAAGUGUAGGAUCAGAUCACAAGAGUAAAUUUAGGAGAACGGUUGGAUUUCCAAUUGACAUUAGUAUCCUCAUAAUAUAUUUGGAUAUAGUGGGGGUUCGAUUAAGCAUAGCAGCGGUUCCAAAAAACUCCAAGUGCUUUUUUAUAAUUAAAGAUCAAUUUGGACCAUAUCCUCUAAAUUAGCAUAUAUAAAUAAGUUGGGCUGCUGUGCAGAGUAUCUCUAUAUCACAAAUAGUAAUGCCUCUACAUCUGUAAAUCCAGUUAAUUGGUUUUCCCAGUAGACAUCAUUUUAAAUAUCCUGUUGUAAUUUAUUAGGUUAUGUAAAAGGCAUGCUACCCUUUUGCAACCUCCACAAGUACAAAUGUGAUCUGCAAAGAAUGUUAUCAUCUAUAGCUUUUUGUAAAUAGGGGACGAGACAGUUUUUUUUACCACUAGUUCCCAAUGCUACCAAAAUCAUAGCAUAGUUAAGAUGACUUUAUCCUGAACUAGUUAAAAGGCCUAUUUUACUGGUGUCCAUAUGUUUAUUCAACGCAGAGCAAGAGAUAAACCCCUUAUUCACACAUAUGUCCAUAUGUUUAUUCAACGUAGAGCAAGAGAUAAACCCCUUAUUCACACAUAUGAAAAUAGAUAAAAUUAGUUGUGAUUAUUUCACAAUAAAUUGUCAGUUGGUGUUAAAAUUUCUUGAUUUCGUGCUUGAUAUACUACCAUAAUUAGACAAAGGCUUUAAAACUUUUUUUGAACAUGUGCUUUCUCAGUUGCUUGUUGCUGGAGGUGGAAUGUAUAUAGAGGUAUUCAACCGAGGUGUCAUUCCACUGGCUUACAGCAUCAAGAAGAAAAACAAGGCAGGAGAGACCAACACUUACCUCGAUGGUAUUUACCUGUUAUUUACCUAUUUUACCAAACCCGAAUCUAUGGAAGUCCUUGAAGAAACAUUGAUUACAGAUGAUGAAGUUAUCCGCUCAUCUACGUUCAAGAUAAGGAAAAGGAAAUACUAGAUGAUGAAAAUUUGUAACAUCAUAAUGUACUUUUAGGAAAAAGGUUCUUCCAUGGAUGUUUCCUCCUUUUGUGUAGUCAAAAUCUAUUUAUGUAAUUCCAAUAUAAUUGAUAUCAUGUGUUGCGGAUAUAUACAAUUGCUAGAUGCAGAAGAGGUUGUUUGCCUGAUAUUCCUUUACAUCUAUGUUAUAUUUACCAGAAAUAAGUAGGCAGAGAACAGUUUUCUGAAGAAGAAUUUAUCUGCCUUUACUCAGUGGCAUCAGCUGGAAUCAAAAACUAACAUCUUAGCAAGGCCUAAAAUAGUAAAGGAAAUACUAUACAAAGCACCAAAACAAGAGCUACUGAUGCCAAGGUAAUCUUCAAGGGCAUCUUUCCUUUAUCAGUCCGCAAGAUUAUGGCUUCAUAUAGUGGCCAGCUAUGUACAACCACAUAACCUGUCAAACAGAUCUGUAAACAUACAUUUUCAAACCUUUCUUUCCCAAAUAUGGCUUGUUCUAUUCCACUUGAAAACGCAACUAAGUUGAUUAUGGCUGCCAUGGUAAUUGUCAAGAACAUUGGUGAUGAAACGCCAAACACGAAAUAUCCUUUGUCAUAUCGGCUAGUCUGUUCAUCAUCAACCACCUUACUUGUCACGUUGAACCCGGUUGCUGAGAAGCCAAAACAUCCGAGUAUGUAUUCAAGCAUUGCAAAUGGAAAGCUUGUAAGUCCCCUUAUCAACCAGCUUUUCUGAUAAUUCCACCAUUUUGGAAUAGUUCCUCCAGUUGUCAUGUAGUCUAUGAAUUCUUGCAUGAUUGCUCCAACAAACAGAAAUGCAUACAAGUAAAACCAUGGAUCUGAUACCUGUACUCAGAGCCUACUAAUCAAUAUCUGUGAGACAAUUCUACAUAAGAACUGAAAUAAUAUAGCCAACUGUUAUGUUUAAUCAAUGUAAACACACCUUUGGGAAGAUUGGCGUGGAGUUGAUGAGUGCUAGUUGAGGCAAAAAUGCAUAAACUGGAACUGGUAUGGACCAAAAAGGCCAUGAAAUGUAGUGAAUAUAACAAAGGGCUUGAAGAAGGUUUAAAGAUUUGAGUCCGAAGGUUAGGGGGCUAAACUUGCAACAUAUAAUUUCGAAGUAGCCCAUGAACCAUCGUUUACUUUGACAAAGCAUAUCGUUGAGGGCUAUAGGAGAGCUCCCAAGAAACGCAGGUCGUUUAGGGUAGCAUAAGAU